RNAcentral lists this small RNA (83 nucleotides) under Marmota monax (woodchuck). Lineage: Eukaryota; Metazoa; Chordata; Mammalia; Rodentia; Sciuridae. The record is from RNAcentral.
GCUGGGCAUGGUGGCACAUGCCUGUAAUCCCAGUGGCUCUGGAGGCUGAGGCAAGAGGAUUGGGAGUUCAAAGCCAGCCUCCG